CUACGGGGUGCACCAGCAAGGAAUUUUGUGCAAUGGGCGAAAGCCUGACACAGCGACGCCGCGUGGGGGAUGAAGGCUUUCGGGUUGUAAACCCCUUUUCUCAGGGAGGAUAAUGACAGUACCUGGGGAAUAAGCCAUGGCUAACUACGUGCCAGCAGCCGCGGUAAUACGUAGGUGGCGAGCGUUAUCCGGAUUUACUGGGCGUAAAGCGGGCGCAGACGGUUUUUCAAGUCGGAUGUAAAAUCUCCCGGCUCAACCGGGAUGGACCGUUCGAAACUGUUAAACGUGAGGACAACAGGGGGAGGUAGAAUUCCCGGUGUAGUGGUGAAAUGCGUAGAUAUCGGGAGGAAUACCAGUGGCGAAGGCGGCCUCCUGGGUUGUAUCUGACGCUCAUGCCCGAAGGUGUGGGGAGCAAACAGGAUUAGAUACCCGGGUAGUC
Molecule: ribosomal RNA, 439 nt
Filed under: uncultured bacterium
Lineage: Bacteria
Description: partial 16S ribosomal RNA
Rfam family: Bacterial small subunit ribosomal RNA
Source: RNAcentral